Molecule: ribosomal RNA, 751 nt
Filed under: Salmonella enterica
Lineage: Bacteria; Pseudomonadati; Pseudomonadota; Gammaproteobacteria; Enterobacterales; Enterobacteriaceae
Description: partial 23S ribosomal RNA
Source: RNAcentral
GGAAACCCAGUGUGACUCGUCACACUAUCAUUAACUGAAUCCAUAGGUUAAUGAGGCGAACCGGGGGAACUGAAACAUCUAAGUACCCCGAGGAAAAGAAAUCAACCGAGAUUCCCCCAGUAGCGGCGAGCGAACGGGGAGGAGCCCAGAGCCUGAAUCAGCAUGUGUGUUAGUGGAAGCGUCUGGAAAGGCGCGCGAUACAGGGUGACAGCCCCGUACACAAAAGCGCAUGUGYUGUGAGCUCGAUGAGUAGGGCGGGACACGUGGUAUCCUGUCUGAAUAUGGGGGGACCAUCCUCCAAGGCUAAAUACUCCUGACUGACCGAUAGUGAACCAGUACCGUGAGGGAAAGGCGAAAAGAACCCCGGCGAGGGGAGUGAAAAAGAACCUGAAACCGUGUACGUACAAGCAGUGGGAGCCCCACCACUAAGCCAGUGGUGAACUCCACAUACGCAUCCUUUGCUGAAGGCAAUGGUUAACGGAGCGAAAGCGACGUUCAACCUCAAAAGAAGCAGAGGGGGCUUAGUGGUGGGGUGACUGCGUACCUUUUGUAUAAUGGGUCAGCGACUUAUAUUCUGUAGCAAGGUUAACCGAAUAGGGGAGCCGGAGGGAAACCGAGUCUUAAUUGGGCGUUAAGUUGCAGGGUAUAGACCCGAAACCCGGUGAUCUAGCCAUGGGCAGGUUGAAGGUUGGGUAACACUAACUGGAGGACCGAACCGACUAAUGUUGAAAAAUUAGCGGAUGACCUGUGG